Molecule: long non-coding RNA, 235 nt
Organism: Amphibalanus amphitrite
Lineage: Eukaryota; Metazoa; Arthropoda; Thecostraca; Balanomorpha; Balanidae
Exons: 2
Source: RefSeq, a predicted model, not a curated record
GCGUAUUUAAAUUUGUUUAUUGUCGGCCGGUUUCGUCUGCCCAUACUUGUUAUUUUUGCGUGUCACCAGCUGACCGGCCUUGUGCGCAAUUCGACACGAAACCCGGCGAAGGAAGACACCUUGGAACCUACAACUAAACUACUGAUCUACGAUCUCUCAACAAACUACAGACUGCAUCUGUCUACUGUCCAUAUGUCUCUUCUAUUCUAAUGCCCAAUACAUUUAUUUCCAUUUA